UACGAAGGGGGCUAGCGUUGUUCGGAAUUACUGGGCGUAAAGCGCGCGUAGGCGGGUCUUUAAGUCAGGGGUGAAAUGCCAAGGCUCAACCUUGGAACUGCCUUUGAUACUGGAGAUCUUGAGUCCGGAAGAGGUGAGUGGAACUGCGAGUGUAGAGGUGAAAUUCGUAGAUAUUCGCAAGAACACCAGUGGCGAAGGCGGCUCACUGGCCCGGAACUGACGCUGAGACGCGAAAGCGUGGGGAGCAAACAGG
Molecule: ribosomal RNA, 253 nt
Filed under: uncultured bacterium
Lineage: Bacteria
Description: partial 16S ribosomal RNA
Rfam family: Bacterial small subunit ribosomal RNA
Source: RNAcentral